This 69-nucleotide transfer RNA is filed under the name Rattus norvegicus (Norway rat). It matches the Rfam family "tRNA". Rfam says of the family: Transfer RNA (tRNA) molecules are approximately 80 nucleotides in length. Their secondary structure includes four short double-helical elements and three loops (D, anti-codon, and T loops). The record is from Rfam by way of RNAcentral. Lineage: Eukaryota; Metazoa; Chordata; Mammalia; Rodentia; Muridae.
GGGGAUUUAGCUCAGUGGUAGAGCGCUUGCCUAGCAAGCGCAAGGCCCUGGGUUUGAUCCCCAGCUCCA